Long non-coding RNA from Tyto alba (common barn owl), 3222 nucleotides. RefSeq lists it as uncharacterized. Lineage: Eukaryota; Metazoa; Chordata; Aves; Strigiformes; Tytonidae. The transcript has 2 exons. The record is from RefSeq and is a predicted model, not a curated record.
UGUUACUGGGGCUGAACAUCGUGGGAGGGCAGCUCCUCACUGGGGCUCUGCUCAGGGCGGCAGCCCCGUAGUCUUCAUGUGAACUGGCGGGUUGCAGUAAGUUACGGGGUGCCAUUCCUAUUUUAAGGGGAAAGGAAAUGUCCCUGCUCUGGAAUGGAUCAGCUGUGAGGGGGCAGGCAGGUACGUACGGGCUGAGUUUCCUGCGGAGGAGGCCGGUCUCCCAACCGCCCCAGUAACUGGGAAGCGGUAAGAAGGCGAUGUGCCCGGUCGGUGAGCUCUGAUCCCAUCCCCAGUCAGAGAGACUGAUUUAGGCUGGUCCCACUUGGGAGAGUUAGUGGUGAUAUUAACUGGAGGAAAUUCUACAGAGUAAGUAUUAGCCUUGUAUUAUGUAGAAUUUUUAAGUGCUUCAUUAAUUUACAAUUCCACUUUUUAUUAAAUUAAUUUGCAUUUUAAUGAAAAAAAUAAGUGGAUCCAGCUCUUGGAGUAGCGAUACCACGCAGCCCGUGUACGAAGGAGGGUGCCUGCGCAGGGGGGAGGCAGCCCUGCGCUCCCAGGAGCUCCCGCCCGCGCGCGGGGGCUGGGGGCUCCCUCCCAGUGCGAGGCAUCCCCUCUCCCCGGCGUCCUCGCCGAAGCCUCUGCUGGUCUGGCUGCUGGUGCAGCAGCACGCGUGGGGGUUGUAGUGCAGACUCGGGCCUCCACCAGAGUGCCGGGUGGAAGGCGCCAGGGAAAUUCAGGAGUAGGAUGCAAUGAUUCUGUCUCGCCAUGGGAAAUGCCUCUUGCUGAGGCCGACACGCAGCCUUGUGCUCCUCGACAGAGCCCGGAGAGCCGUCACGCAGCCCUACUGUCAAGCUCUUCUCCAAGAAAUAAGGGCUGUGACAGUCAAAUGCAUCAGCACUGAAGAGCCCCUGCAUCCUCUCCUCUGGGCAUGCUGGACAAAUUGAAGAGUUUAGCUGAAAGUAAAAAAAAAAAAAAAACAAAAAACAAAAAACCAAAACCUAACAAUUUCUCAUUGACAGACGCCUUUUGAAAUGUGCACCCAGUGCUUCCCUCUGACACGUGUCAGCCAGUGGCCCCGAGAAAUGCCCUCAAACCUCGGCAUCUGUUCCUAAUUGGGGAUCAUUACUCUUAAGGGGUGUCAUGACGUCGGUCUCCCUGGACUGGCAGGUAUCAAUUCUGGAGUGAGGCAGAGCAUACUUAUAUAAAGUAAAUAGCAGAAAUCAGUCUGAAAUCACUGGUGUUGAGCAACUUGGCUAGUAUUCGAAGUGUGACAAAGGUGUCAUUUUUCUCUGCAAGAUUUUGUUUGUCUGAUUUUUUUUUUGUUUGUUUGUUUGUUUAGACAGAAUUUCAGACAUGGUUAUGGCCAGGAAAGUUAAAAAAAAAAAAAAAAAGGAAUAAAAAUCCACCAGCCUCCUUGCCCCCUGGCCCUCAGAUCAACAGAGAACUUUGACUCUAUUACCUCAUGGCUUACGUGCUGUGAUGACUUCAGUAACUGUAAGGCACCGGCGUGGAUCUUCUUCUGACCUGUGCCGCUGGAAGGUGGCAGGAGCGUCUGGACUCCAGGAGCGCACAGACUGUCGUUCCUUGCGACUUGGCAGAGGAACACCAGGGGCAUUGUGUGUGUGUGUAGGGGUAAGGAAAAUUGAGCAAUAAACAUCCAGAGAAAUGAGACAUUUAAACAUUCAAAGUAAUUGAUACCAGGAAAAAAAUAUGAUAGGAUGAAAUCUAUUCCUGCAAUAAACUGUCCAUUAGUUGGGCCAUCAGCAUAACCCUAAUCUAAAGUUACGAGGAUCCAUUACAGAUAUAAUCAAAUACAAUUUUCUAUAUUCCAUGAAUCAAAAGCACCAUAUGUAUUAAGAGCCUAGUUUGUCUUUUUGUUCCUGCCUUCUCCUGGAACAGUAUAUAUCUGAUUUCUUGUGUUAUAUUGCUCUGAUGUCUGCUAAGGGCACCAUGCCCUAGAAAUUCACAUUAAAUAACUGAGAGUGAGCACUAGAAAUGAAAAAAGUGAAAUACUAUCUAGACAGCUGGAAGUAAAAAUAUGAAAAGUGUUGCACUUACAGAAGGAAAAAAAGCCUAUUUUUAUGACUUGAAUAGACAGUUUGGUAUAAAGAGAAAUUCCUCACCCAAGAUCAGCCAUACAGCUGAGCUGCAGCAGGCGGCCUGAAAUGUUGUAAUGUGCAGUACAAGUACUGGCUCGAGAGGGCGGACUGGGAUGUGGCUGCAGAUGUAGAGCAGGCACAAGCACGGAGGUUCUCCAACUUGCAGGGCUAAUGAUUACUGCCAUCCCAGGGCAGGUUUUGGCUUCAUAAGCAUGUGUGCAUGAGGCUUUAAUGGGGACACUGCACGCGUGCAUGAGGCUUUAAUGGGGACACUGCAGAUGGGGUGGGGCUGCAGCCAGGAGGGGUCUGUGGGCUGCAGAUGUGUGCUCUCCAACACCCAAGGACGCUCCCUUCAUUCGCUGGGGCAUGACUCCCAGCUUGUCCUUUCUUUCCCUUUGUUUUGUAAAUUUUUCCAGUUCUCACUGUUGACCAGAUUGCCCCCCUUCAGCAGCCCCCUCCCCAGGCCCUGCCUUGCUGUCCUUGCCUCUGCUCAGCGAGGGAUGUACGUGUUUGAGCAUGUGACGAGCCCCAUUCUCGCCAGCUCAUGGACAUGUCCUAGGCCCACCUGAAGUCUCUGGGUCUCAGUACCCACCUCGCACCAACUGUCACCUUUGAAAUACAGAGAAAUCCACAGCAGGAGUGGCUUCACCAGGUUCCAGGAAGACCCGCACUGCCCACAGCUUCAGCAUCGCCCUUGGCCCUGGACUCCCCCGACGCUUUCCUUCAGCUCUGCACGCCGCAAGGUGACCCACUGGACAAACCAUGCACUCUGCAUAUUUUUGUUUCCAGGCAAUUCUCAGGGGCUUUGUUUUGACGUGAAAUGUCUUUGCUGAUGACAGAGAAACCAGCGGCCAGGGGACACUUUAUCGAAAGAGCCUAGAGGGAACUGUCCGGUUUGUAAGGGCUCACACUUCCCAUCAGAAGUUCCCCACAUCUUUGAAAACCAUUUUCCCGAAAGGUGUGUGUGACCUGCACGGGGGACCCGACAGAGGGGUUUUGGGGUGGGAAGCAGCAUCAGCAGGAGCCUGCCAUCUGGAGCGAUCUCCGGUCCUCGCCACCUCAUCAAUUCUCCAGCUGUUCUCUAAUCCCAUCUGGAAAAAAAUAAAUCUCUUCUGUCUCCCUAGCC